Molecule: ribosomal RNA, 514 nt
Filed under: uncultured bacterium
Lineage: Bacteria
Description: bacterial SSU rRNA
Rfam family: Bacterial small subunit ribosomal RNA
Source: RNAcentral
GAUUCUGGCUCAGGAUGAACGCUAGCUACAGGCUUAACACAUGCAAGUCGAGGGGCAGCAUGGCGAUUGCUUGCAAUUGCCGAUGGCGACCGGCGCACGGGUGAGUAACGCGUAUCCAACCUUCCUGCCAGUAGGGAACAGCCCGGCGAAAGUCGGAUUAAUGCCCUAUGUUCUUCAAUGCGGACAUCUAAGUUGAAGGAAAGAUUUAUCGCUGGCAGAUGGGGAUGCGUCCGAUUAGCUUGUUGGCGGGGUAACGGCCCACCAAGGCGACGAUCGGUAGGGGUUCUGAGAGGAAGGUCCCCCACACUGGUACUGAGACACGGACCAGACUCCUACGGGAGGCAGCAGUGAGGAAUAUUGGUCAAUGGGCGAGAGCCUGAACCAGCCAAGUAGCGUGCAGGAGGACGGCCCUACGGGUUGUAAACUGCUUUUAUGCGGGGAUAAAGUGCGGCACGUGUGCCGUUUUGCAGGUACCGCAUGAAUAAGGACCGGCUAAUUCCGUGCCAGCCGCCGC